RNAcentral lists this ribosomal RNA (434 nucleotides) under uncultured Lachnospiraceae bacterium. RNAcentral describes it as "partial 16S ribosomal RNA". It matches the Rfam family "Bacterial small subunit ribosomal RNA", at positions 341 to 792 of the family's 1533-position model. Lineage: Bacteria; Bacillati; Bacillota; Clostridia; Lachnospirales; Lachnospiraceae. The record is from RNAcentral.
ACGGGAGGCAGCAGUGGGGAAUAUUGCACAAUGGGCGAAAGCCUGAUGCAGCGACGCCGCGUGAGUGAAGAAGUAUCUCGGUAUGUAAAGCUCUAUCAGCAGGGAAGAAAAUGACGGUACCUGACUAAGAAGCCCCGGCUAACUACGUGCCAGCAGCCGCGGUAAUACGUAGGGGGCAAGCGUUAUCCGGAUUUACUGGGUGUAAAGGGUGCGUAGGCUGUGUGACAAGUCAGUGGUGAAAGCCCGGGGCUUAACUCCGGAACUGCCAUUGAUACUGUUACGCUGGAAUACGGAUGCCGUGGGAGGAAUGAGUAGUGUAGCGGUGAAAUGCAUAGAUAUUACUCAGAACACCGAUUGCGAAGGCAUCUCACGAAUCCGUUAUUGACGCUGAGGCACGAAAGCGUGGGGAUCAAACAGGAUUAGAUACCCUGGUA